RNAcentral lists this transfer RNA (71 nucleotides) under Spirulinaceae cyanobacterium RM2_2_10. RNAcentral describes it as "tRNA-OTHER". It matches the Rfam family "tRNA". Rfam says of the family: Transfer RNA (tRNA) molecules are approximately 80 nucleotides in length. Their secondary structure includes four short double-helical elements and three loops (D, anti-codon, and T loops). The record is from RNAcentral. Lineage: Bacteria; Bacillati; Cyanobacteriota; Cyanophyceae; Spirulinales; Spirulinaceae.
GGACAGGUAGGGAAAUUGGUUAAACCCGUACUCGAAAGAGCUUGAUUGUUCGAAUCCAUCCCUGUCCACCA